Chiroxiphia lanceolata (lance-tailed manakin) is the source of this 1470-nucleotide long non-coding RNA. RefSeq lists it as uncharacterized. The transcript is spliced from 5 exons. The record is from RefSeq and is a predicted model, not a curated record. Lineage: Eukaryota; Metazoa; Chordata; Aves; Passeriformes; Pipridae.
GCCAUGUGGUGUGUGUCGUCACAGGUGUGGGAUGUCUCACUUGGGGUCAGCCUGGAACUGCUGUGCCCUGCUACGUGGAUCAGUGGGUAGAUGGCAUAUGGCUCCGAGUCUCAUGUCAACCUGUCAGUUCCCUUAGACAGUCGAGCCGAUGGCUGUACAGUCGGUGAGCAGGAUGGUCUUGCGAUGCCCUGCUUGGGUGUAUAGAGUGCCGGCUAGGUAGAGUAGCAAAGAGUGUCUAGGGUUUAGAGGUUUUUGGCUUUCCUUGUGAGCAAUCCCUAAAUGUUUGAGAGCUGAGUGUUUGAGCAUUUCCCCAUUUCAUUUGCAGGGGCGGUCUUGGGAGCAGCUGAAGAGAGAGGAGCCUUGUAGGUAUCCCAGAAGAUGAGAGCCACAGUGUCCGACUCCGGUCAGAGCCAGCGCCCCGAGGACCUGCCUCGGUGACAUUGACUCCUAGUAGUCUGACGAUGGCAGGAACCUCUGAGCCAGCCCAGGUGCCCCUGCUGUGCACGAAAGAUGGCUUCGCAUGGCCGGCUCUCGGAAAGAUAAGUGCAGGGCAAAGACCCAGAGAGGGGUUGGGAGUCGGGGCGAGUAUGUGCCUCGCCUGGAGGGAUUUUUGAAAUUAGUCCGGUGCAAGGGGUAUGCGGGAACAGGUUAUUUGGACGCAUCGAAGGAAGGGCUUACUUUUUCUCGUUGGAUUCACGUGUGCAGGUCAGGACAGUUCGGGUCCGUGUCACGUCCUUAGUCUCGUCCGUGUUUUGUGUCACGUGGUGUGUGUCGUCACAGGUGUGGGAUGUCUCACUUGGGGUCAGCCUGGAACUGCUCUGCCCUGCCACGUGGAUCAGUGGGUAGAUGGCAUGUGGCUCCGAGUCUCAGGUCAACCUGUCAGUUCCCUUAGACAGUCGAGCCGAUGGCUGUAGAGUCGGUGAGCAGGAUGGUCUUGCGAUGCCCUGCUUGGGUGUAUAGAGUGCCGGCUAGGUAGAGUAGCAAAGAGUGUCUAGGGUUUAGAGGUUUUUGGCUUUCCUUGUGAGCAAUCCCUAAAUGUUUGAGAGCUGAGUGUUUGAGCAUUUCCCCAUUUCAUUUGCAGGGGCGGUCUUGGGAGCAGCUGAAGAGAGAGGAGCCUUGUAGGUAUCCCAGAAGAUGAGAGCCACAGUGUCCGACUCCGGUCAGAGCCAGCGCCCCGAGGACCUGCCUCGGUGACAUUGACUCCUAGUAGUCUGACGAUGGCAGGAACCUCUGAGCCAGCCCAGGUGCCCCUCCUGUGCAUGAAAGAUGGCUUCGCAUCCCCGGCUCUCGGAAAGAUAAGUGCAGGGCAGGGCCCCAGAGAGGGGUUGGGAGUCGGGGCAAGUCUGUGCCUCGCCUGGAGGGAUUUUUGAAAUUAGUGCGGUGCAAGGGGUAUCCGGGAACAGGUUAUUUGGACGCAUCAAAGGAAGGGCUUACUUUUUGUCAUUGGAUUGACGUGUGCAGGGCAGAGCA